RNAcentral lists this transfer RNA (63 nucleotides) under Astrospartus mediterraneus. Its description in RNAcentral is "transfer RNA-Trp". The record is from RNAcentral. Lineage: Eukaryota; Metazoa; Echinodermata; Ophiuroidea; Euryalida; Gorgonocephalidae.
UGAGAUUUAGGUUAAUAAAACCAACUACCUUCAAAGUAGUAAAUAAGUAAAACUUAAACUUAA